This 82-nucleotide transfer RNA is filed under the name Corynebacterium vitaeruminis DSM 20294. RNAcentral's name for it is "tRNA-Ser (CGA) (tRNA-Ser-CGA-2-1)". It matches the Rfam family "tRNA". From Rfam's summary of the family: Transfer RNA (tRNA) molecules are approximately 80 nucleotides in length. Their secondary structure includes four short double-helical elements and three loops (D, anti-codon, and T loops). Lineage: Bacteria; Bacillati; Actinomycetota; Actinomycetes; Mycobacteriales; Corynebacteriaceae. The record is from RNAcentral.
GGAAAGUACGGCUCAUGGUGAGCAGGCGGCCUCGAAAGCCGCCGCGUGCGCAAGCACGGGGGUUCGAUCCCUCUACUUUCCG